GAUGAACGCUGGCGGCGUGCUUAACACAUGCAAGUCGAACGGGAUCCAUCAGGCUUUGCUUGGUGGUGAGAGUGGCGAACGGGUGAGUAAUGCGUGACCGACCUGCCCCAUACACCGGAAUAGCUCCUGGAAACGGGUGGUAAUGCCGGAUGCUCCGACUCCUCGCAUGGGGUGUCGGGAAAGAUUUCAUCGGUAUGGGAUGGGGUCGCGUCCUAUCAGGUAGUCGGCGGGGUAACGGCCCACCGAGCCUACGACGGGUAGCCGGCCUGAGAGGGCGACCGGCCACAUUGGGACUGAGAUACGGCCCAGACUCCUACGGGAGGCAGCAGUGGGGAAUAUUGCACAAUGGGCGCAAGCCUGAUGCAGCGACGCCGCGUGCGGGAUGACGGCCUUCGGGUUGUAAACCGCUUUUGAUCGGGAGCAAGCCUUCGGGUGAGUGUACCUUUCGAAUAAGC
RNAcentral lists this ribosomal RNA (455 nucleotides) under uncultured bacterium. Its description in RNAcentral is "bacterial SSU rRNA". It matches the Rfam family "Bacterial small subunit ribosomal RNA", at positions 28 to 491 of the family's 1533-position model. The record is from RNAcentral.